GACGAACGCUGGCGGCGUGCUUAACACAUGCAAGUCGAACGGAAAGGCCCUGCUUUUGUGGGGUGCUCGAGUGGCGAACGGGUGAGUAACACGUGAGUAACCUGCCCUUGACUUUGGGAUAACUUCAGGAAACUGGGGCUAAUACCGGAUAGGAGCUCCUGCUGCAUGGUGGGGGUUGGAAAGUUUCGGCGGUUGGGGAUGGACUCGCGGCUUAUCAGCUUGUUGGUGGGGUAGUGGCUUACCAAGGCUUUGACGGGUAGCCGGCCUGAGAGGGUGACCGGCCACAUUGGGACUGAGAUACGGCCCAGACUCCUACGGGAGGAAGCAGGGGGGAAGAUUGAAAAAGGGGCGGAAGCCUGAUGCAGCAACGCCGCGUGCGGGAUGACGGCCUUCGGGUUGUAAACCGCUUUCGCCUGUGACGAAGCGGGAGUGACGGUAAGGGGUAAAGAAGCACCGGCUAACUACGUG
RNAcentral lists this ribosomal RNA (468 nucleotides) under uncultured bacterium. RNAcentral's name for it is "partial 16S ribosomal RNA". It matches the Rfam family "Bacterial small subunit ribosomal RNA", at positions 28 to 507 of the family's 1533-position model. The record is from RNAcentral.